AGCUUUGUAGUCAAUUAUGAUUUCAGAUUGCAAAUUUGAAGGUGAAUGUUUUCUAAGGCUU
RNAcentral lists this transfer RNA (61 nucleotides) under Neolucanus maximus. RNAcentral describes it as "tRNA-Cys". The record is from RNAcentral. Lineage: Eukaryota; Metazoa; Arthropoda; Insecta; Coleoptera; Lucanidae.